AGUGAACGCUGGCGGUAGGCCUAACACAUGCAAGUCGAACGGCAGCACAGUAAGAGCUUGCUCUUACGGGUGGCGAGUGGCGGACGGGUGAGGAAUACAUCGGAAUCUACUUUUUCGUGGGGGAUAACGUAGGGAAACUUACGCUAAUACCGCAUACGACCUACGGGUGAAAGCAGGGGAUCUUCGGACCUUGCGCGAUUGAAUGAGCCGAUGUCGGAUUAGCUAGUUGGCGGGGUAAAGGCCCACCAAGGCGACGAUCCGUAGCUGGUCUGAGAGGAUGAUCGGCCAAAGUGGAAAGGAGACAAGGUGCAGACUGAGAAGGGAGGCAGCAGGAGGGAAUGUAGAGCAAGGGGCGAAAGAGUGAAGGAGCAAAGCAGCGGGAGGGAGGAAGGGAUUAGGAUAGUAAAACUCUGUUAUUAGAGAAGAACAAAGGUGUAAGUAAAUAUGCGCGUCUGGACGGUAGAGAAUAAGAAAGCCACGGCUAACUAAGUG
RNAcentral lists this ribosomal RNA (492 nucleotides) under uncultured bacterium. RNAcentral describes it as "partial 16S ribosomal RNA". It matches the Rfam family "Bacterial small subunit ribosomal RNA", at positions 30 to 507 of the family's 1533-position model. The record is from RNAcentral.